UACGUAGGGGGCAAGCGUUGUCCGGAUUUAUUGGGCGUAAAGAGCGUGUAGGCGGCUUUACAGGUCCGUUGUGAAAACUCGAGGCUCAACCUCGAGACGCCGGUGGAAACCGUAAAGCUAGAGUCCGGAAGAGGAGAGUGGAAUUCCUGGUGUAGCGGUGAAAUGCGCAGAUAUCAGGAAGAACACCCGUGGCGAAGGCGGCUCUCUGGGACGUGACUGACGCUGAGACGCGAAAGCGUGGGGAGCGAACAGG
Molecule: ribosomal RNA, 253 nt
Filed under: uncultured bacterium
Lineage: Bacteria
Description: partial 16S ribosomal RNA
Rfam family: Bacterial small subunit ribosomal RNA
Source: RNAcentral